GGAUGUUAUUUUUAGCAUCUUUCAGUGAAAAUGUCAAUUUUUAAAUGAUUUGAUUUUUAAAAAUAUUUUCUCUUUUAAAAAAAAUCUAGGGUACAGGAUCCCAGUAAUGAAUGUGACUGUAUUGUAUACCUAGAUUGUACCACUAAACUCAAUAAAAAGAAAAAAAUAUCUAGGUAAGGCCAGGGAUUUAGCUCAGUGGUUCUGCCGCCUGCCUUGCAAGCGCAAGGAUCCAAGUUGGAUCCCCAGUACAAAAAAAAAAAAAAAAAAAAAAAAAAAAUCUAGGCAAACAAAAGCAGUAAAACAAUAGUUAAUAAAUUUAAUAGUUGCAUUUAUUUAUUUUCUUACUGAUGUUUAUGUUUUUAUUUGACAAAUAAUAGUAUGUGCAUUUUUUAAAUUGUGUUUGGAAAAGCACAAUACACCCUACCUGAAUUUUUAAAAGAAAAGUUAGAAAGUUUUUUCUCAUCUGUAAUAAAUGUACAUUUGCUCUAAGGCAUGGAGCUUAGUGAUUUCUCAAGGUCUUUUCUCAUGUUUCCUUGCUUUGGAAAUUUCUAGUUUUUAUAUCUGCUGUAUGUCUACUCUGUAUCAUACCUUCUUCCAGCAGGUUCACCCUGGCUACCUAUGGACAAAACAAAAAGCUGUCCUCUGAAAAAAUCUGCUUUAUCACCUCCCUCACUAUAGGCUUCAGCUUCCUUCUCCAUGCAGGAAUGUGGUUAUAGUCUAGCAGAGUGGCACAGAAUCUUCCAGGUGAUCAGAGACCACAUGCUCUACAUUGCAGUCCAUCCUCCUUAUUACAUGCUGAUCCACAGCUUGUUCCCAGCUUCCUCCCUACAUGAAUCAUCACAGUUCCUAUGCAGGCAGUGGGAGUCACAGACCACCAAGAACUUACCCUUCAUGCAGAGAAAGACUCUUCAAAUCUCAGAUGGCAGUACAGAAUCCUGGUAAUUCUACUGUGAGAUUUCUGCUGCAAAAUAUCAUAAAUGAAUACAUAGAUCAGUUCUUGAUUUUCAUAAAGUUCUCCAUUUAUUGAAAAAGGAGAAGAAGGGAAGACUGGAAAAUAAAAUGAGCAAAGAGUAUGUGUCUGUGUGUGUGUGUUGUUUUAAAACUAUUAUAAUUAAGGAAAAAUGGUUAAGUAUUUUUGGGAAACUUAUGAUUAUCAUAUUCAAGUAGUAUACUGGAUGAAGCCUUAGAGAAACUAUUUGCUUAGUUAUUUAGUAAUUUAUAUAUUUAUCCACUGACUAAUAGGCUAGCAAAUGAGGUGGUGCUGAAAGUCUUAUUCUUAAAUAUCAGGAUCUACAUUUAAAGAUAUUGCCCCAGGACUGAUCAAGGGCAAAGAUGCUCCCCCUGUUUAUUUCUCCAGCAAAAAGGAAGAACGAGAAACAUCACUGCAGACCAUCUCCGAG
RNAcentral lists this long non-coding RNA (1400 nucleotides) under Fukomys damarensis (Damara mole-rat). RNAcentral describes it as "lncRNA (ENSFDAG00000027858.1)". The record is from RNAcentral. Lineage: Eukaryota; Metazoa; Chordata; Mammalia; Rodentia; Bathyergidae.